GGGGACAGCCUCGGGAAACCGUGGGUAAUACCGGAUACUCCGGGACGGCCGCAUGGCCGGCCCGGGAAAGCCCAGACGGGAGGGGAUGGGCCCGCGGCCUGUUAGCUAGUCGGCGGGGUAACGGCCCACCGAGGCGAUUAUGGGUAGCCGGGUUGAGAGACCGACCGGCCAGAUUGGGACUGAGACACGGCCCAGACUCCUACGGGAGGCAGCAGUGGGGAAUCUUGCGCAAUGGGCGGAAGCCUGACGCAGCGACGCCGCGUGCGGGACGAAGGCCUUCGGGUCGUAAACCGCUUUCAGCAGGGACGAGGCCCUCACGGUGACGGUACCUGCAGAAGAAGCCCCGGCUAACUACGUGCCAGCAGCCGCGGUAAUACGUAGGGGGCGAGCGUUAUCCGGAUUCAUUGGGCGUAAAGCGCGCGUAGGCGGCCUGUUAGGUCGGGGGUCAAAUACCGGGGCUCAACCCCGGUCCGCCCCCGAUACCGGCAGGCUUGAGUCUGGUAGGGGAAGGCGGAAUUCCCAGUGUAGCGGUGGAAUGCGCAGAUAUUGGGAAGAACACCGGCGGCGAAGGCGGCCUUCUGGGCCACGACUGACGCUGAGGCGCGAAAGCUAGGGGAGCGAACAGGAUUAGAUACCCUGGUAGUCCUAGCCGUAAACG
RNAcentral lists this ribosomal RNA (658 nucleotides) under uncultured bacterium. Its description in RNAcentral is "bacterial SSU rRNA". It matches the Rfam family "Bacterial small subunit ribosomal RNA", at positions 139 to 808 of the family's 1533-position model. The record is from RNAcentral.